Molecule: long non-coding RNA, 635 nt
Organism: Paramisgurnus dabryanus
Lineage: Eukaryota; Metazoa; Chordata; Actinopteri; Cypriniformes; Cobitidae
Source: RefSeq, a predicted model, not a curated record
UACAAUCAAAUGUUAGAUACUGCAGAAAUAAACAAAAUGUAUUGUUAACCUUCGCGUUACGUUAAGGAUGCGCAGUUUAUUUAUGAAGUGCAACAAGAACCUACACGCGGAUGACAUCAAAGUACUGCGAGAGCGACUCGAAAGAUCAUGGACAGCAUUCUGAUUUCAAAUCACUCUCGCGGUAUUUUAACGUCAUCUUUUUCUAGUUCCUGCAACUCAGCAUUACGUCGAACACCUUGUCAAAAAUGAUUGAGAUGGCCAAUCAAAUCAAAAAAGGCGAGUGCCACUGGCCAAUCACAUAACAGAAGACGAGCUUUCCUGUUAACGGAAGCCGAGCGGCGGCCAAUCAAAUUAACCAAUAGGCGGGGUUACCGUCGGAGUAGCAGUUACACCGUGUCAAUCAAUCAUAACGGACACAGAGAUUUCAAAGGCAGCAGGAUGAAAGAUAUGUGUCUGUGUUCAUCAAGACAUGAAGACUAUGGAGUGGGACAAGAGAAGGAUGAUGGGGUGUAUAUUCAAAUAGACACAUUAAGUCACAUUGUGAUUUCAGUGAAAGCUGAUAAAUACAGAGGGCUGGACAGUGGUUUCAUUCAUUAGGUGAGUAAGAACUGACCAUAGCCUAACAUUACUUUAGU